UUCCGUGUAUCCUUGGGCCUUGCCGGCCAGCAGUCACUUCCUAGCCAUGGAGAGCAUGUUCUUGUUAUUGCCAAGGUUGUCACCAUUUAACUGGUUUCAGAUUCUGACUUGAACAAGGAACAUCU
Chionomys nivalis (European snow vole) is the source of this 125-nucleotide small nucleolar RNA. RefSeq annotates it as small nucleolar RNA SNORA24. The record is from RefSeq and is a predicted model, not a curated record. Lineage: Eukaryota; Metazoa; Chordata; Mammalia; Rodentia; Cricetidae. The transcript has a single exon.